This 3184-nucleotide unclassified non-coding RNA is filed under the name Helicoverpa zea (corn earworm). Its description in RNAcentral is "pDZ domain-containing protein 8, transcript variant X3". The record is from RNAcentral. Lineage: Eukaryota; Metazoa; Arthropoda; Insecta; Lepidoptera; Noctuidae.
UUUAUCAAAAAAUAAUAAUUUUACUUAGUGUCAGUGAUGUAAAGGACAUCUGACGCCGCCGGGCGACCCGGCUGGCGUGAAAAAUGUAGUAGAAAAAUAGUCUUACUAAAAAGUCAACAUACGAUUAGUUUAGUGAAGCGUUUAAUGUCAAUUGUUAUAGUGUAUAUCGAUUGUACGUAGAAUUAUCGUUGUUUUUAGGUAAAUUUAUUCAGUAAAUAUCGCUAGAACAUAAUGCCGGACUGGACGUGGUUGGUGUUUGCCGCGGUGUUUGGGGCCGUGUCGGCACUGUCUGUGCCGCUGGCUCUCCUCAUCUACUUCGUGCGCCCCUUCGAGAAGAAGACACAGACUACUGAAGACUACAGCCUGCCUGUGACUUUGCCACCCGAGGUACUGAACGAGCUAACUCGUGGCCUAGGCAAUUCGCCAGAGGGCGCUCUGAACACGAUGCUGCAGUUCAUCUUCCAACAAAGCACGGCUGAUACUCGGUGGCUGCGCCGACGCAUGGCUUCGGAACUUGCAGAGUUGCUUGCCAAGACAUCGUCGGGGAAGAUCUUCGAGUCACUCACGCUGCGUUCUCUAGAAGUGGGCACGGAGUUCCCCAGCAUCACAAACCUACGUCUGGUCUCCGGUGAACUAGAGGAGGACGGGGCCCGCCUGCGAGCUCUCGACCUCAAGUUCGACCUGGCGUAUGAUGGCAACUUCAGGAUCGAUGUGGAUGCCGUCAUGCUGCUGGGGAAAAUCGCUAACAUAUCUAUUACUGUGGAGAGCAUAAGCGGUAACGUAAGAGUGAUGUUUCGUCGCAAUCCCUACACACAUUGGGCCCUCGCCUUCGAGACACAACCGAAACUUGAGCUCCGAGUUCGAGGCAGGUUCCAGGGAAGGCAGAUCAAGCCUAGACUGGCUUCAUUAGUGGCCUCACACAUUAGACGAGCCGUGGCACAAAGGCAUACGCUGCCUAAUUAUAAAAUACGAUACAAGCCGUUCUUCCCGAAGUCAGACCCCGGCAGUACGGAAGGCGACGAAGGGCCGUGUCCACACGGGCGUCUAACUGUCCGACUAAUGGAGGUCACGCGGUUGCAGUGGUCGGGAGGAACCGCUACUGUGCGCGCGGCCUUAGCUGUUGACUCACAUGGAUGGGUAUCACUUCGGCGCGGAGUGCUGGUAUUAGACGUGGUGUUGCCAGCAGUAGCGGGGCCGUUGGGUCUCGUGUGUUGCCAGGGUGUGGGAGCGGUGUUGGUCGACACAGUCGUGCCAAUGUCGCCCGCUUACCGCGCCGAUUUGAGGAGGGAUGAUAUCGUGCUGGCUAUUGAUAAUAAACCCGUCAAUAAUGUUGCUCAGGUGGGUAAACUCCUCCGCCUAGUAGAACGCCGCGCGGUCACAGUGCGCGUGAAGCGCGGCGGCAGCGGCGCGGCGGCGCGACGCGACGAGGCCAGCGAGCCCAAGCGCAUGAAGCCCAACUUCUCCUUCCGACGAGUGUCUGAGGUCAUGGAGGGGGUGAGGCUCCAGGGUAUGAGGGCUGCGGCUUCGAAGAGUAAUUUGCAGGAACCUGAAUCCAGCCCAGCGAAAACAGUAGAACCGCAAAACGAGACUGAUGCACAAGCCAAAUCUAAAACAGAGGCAGCGCGCCAACCGAAGCCUUCCGAACAGCCUUCGGCUAACUUCGGGCUUCGCAAGCGUCGCUGCUCCGUAGAAAAUAAGUCUUCCGAUAGCUCCGCCGGCAGUACCCCGCCGGCCUCCGGUGCCAGCACACCCCUGCGACAAGCGAACGUUAUCAAUAAAACCGUCAAACACCCCGACAUACCCAUCAUCAGAACUGACUCUUCAGAAUGUAGGGUAGCAGAGAAAGAGACGGCUGAAGAAGAAGAACAAAUGUUCGAGGUUGGAGGUCCAAGACAAUGCGAACAUGUUGAGAUUUGCCAAAUGUUCUGGACUAAACACACACCUUUAAAACCUAUUAUACCGUUCGAUGAGGAAACGGAGUUCAAACUAAAUGAGAAUCAUAAGUAUUUGAAUAUUAACGUCUGGGCAACAGUAGCUGGUGAAAAAGAAGAGAUUUUGUUAGGAUAUCUUAAUAUUCCUCUCACAGCUUUGUUAGCUGAAUGUCAGGAUUCCACGGUACCUCAUCACAUGAAGAGGUACCAGUUCUUACCGCCUGAUGUUGAUAUAAAGUUCAGCAAAAGCCACAAGUUAUCAUCUCACGCUGGCUUCGAGCCCUGCCUCUGUUUUGGGGACGCACUAGUCUGGUGGGAAUGGGAAGGUCUGGGCCCCGCCAGAACCGCACCCCGGACAAGCCGGGACCCCGUGCUACCCAGGCCCCCCAAACCGACUAGAGCAAGCCAUGACUUCGUGCGAACACAUUUCCAUAGAUCAACUCAAUGCGAUUUCUGCAAUAAGAAGAUAUGGCUGAAAGAUGCGAUGCAGUGCCGCAACUGUGGUCUCUCUUGCCACAAGAAAUGCGUCACAAAGUGUCAAGAGUCUUCGCCAUGUAUUCCAAAGCAGGAUAGAGAUUCUUCGAACACGCUAAGCUGCCCUCCACCCGAGUUGAUCAUGACCGAAGCGGACUCGAUUGCUGACCCCGAUUCCGAUGAUGAACCCGAGAGGAAAGACUCCCUCGAUGUUCAUGAGGAGGGUGGAGGUGCAAUGAGCGCUCUGGUGGCCGGACUUAGACGAGCAGGGUCCGCCCAUUCCCUCUCAGCGCCGAAGACAAAUGCCUCUUCUAGAUCCUUACCACCAUCACCGAGUCACACGCCCAGUUCGCACAUCAUAAUGUCCUUCAACGUUUGAAGACACACAAGCCCGUGUGACGUAAAGGAAGCAGUCGCUGGAGUCGGGCAACCCGUUCGGCGCGUGCGGCGCGACGUGGCUGGCGAAGGGCGGCGUGAGCGCAAUGCUGGCGCCGGCGCUGCGCAGCGCUCUGCCGCCGGACGUGCUGCUCGCGGCCGCGCGGGACUCCGCGCCUGAGCUCGCCAGCAGGCUCACCGCCCAACAGAUACAUGAGAUGUUACUAGCCGUACGAGAAGAGUUAUCAGCCGAGGACGCAAGCAGCGCGGGCGACGGCCCAGGCGGCGAGGUCCGCGCAUGCGCACUGACCGCGCUCAUGCUGCACUGCUGUGCAGCAGCGCAACUCGCGCAGCAGCUGACCGACGCGCCUACUUGAUGAUAUUACAUUAUUGUUCAUUGUGAA